CCCAUCUCACCCCAGCUCGCUGUCACUGUUCGAGAGGGCAGUCCUUUCGUUUAGUUUCUUCUCGUUGGUCUCAGUUGUGCCCUCGCGGUCCUCUUAUACAAGACACCCUCAAGACAGCCAUCAUGUCAGUUCCCCUACCAUAUACUUUCUAAGCUAAAUAUCUAAAGUUCCUUCAGUUAUCUUCUGUGACAUCUAUCAUGAUGAAACUGCUCCUGGUCUCUAUGUCUCAUCUUUGAAAGCCUUUGCUGAGGGAUUUGCCCAGGUACCUUAACUCCAGGGACUUUAAAGGUGUCUAAUCCUUCCAGACCUGCUCAGCUGUAAAUUACUGCGUUAGCGCUUAAGAAGGCCAGCCUUGCCUGUUAAACCAGCAUCAGCCGAGCACCUCUUCAUCCUGGGACCAUGACCUGAGUCCUCUAGCUGCCUCAGGCCUAAUUUACAGAGCUGGGCUAUCACUCAAGCAGGAGCAGUGGAGGAAACAAGAACCACCGCAGCAGGGUUGGUCCUGGAAAUGACAUUGUGCACCAACAGACUUCCUGCAGAAGGUUUCCAAGCAUAAGAGAGACCCCUGAAGUACCUGGGCAGCCCACCCACUACUGAAACAAGACGAAAGUGCCUCUGGGAAGGAGAUGACAAAUAUUCCUCUUGUCUUCCAUCACUCAAACCAAUUAAAAAGUAAAACAAAAGUACCUAAAAAGAGGCCAACAACAGCAAUCAAUUCUCCCAGUUUAUAAUCAAACAGGAUUUCAGCAACCAAUGAUGUUAAAAAAAAUUUCUACCAUAUGCCUCAUGUGUUACUCUAGUAAAUGAUUUCUUUCAUCAUCAAGAGAGUUUAUAUGACAUUCUCUUGACAAUGAAAGAAUUUAUUUCCUAGAACAAAACUCUGGAAAAAGUCAUGUUAAGAAUCAUGCUGGCAUAAGUCAGGUGUAUCUAAGGGCCUGGCCUUCUGGCCUAAAUUUUAUCAUUCAGUCACGACUGGAAAAUAUUCCAAACCACCCCCCUAAAACUGCACACAGUUAACAA
Long non-coding RNA from Lagenorhynchus albirostris (white-beaked dolphin), 1020 nucleotides. RefSeq lists it as uncharacterized. The record is from RefSeq and is a predicted model, not a curated record. The transcript has 3 exons. NCBI's taxonomy places the organism in Eukaryota, Metazoa, Chordata, Mammalia, Artiodactyla, Delphinidae.